RNAcentral lists this ribosomal RNA (374 nucleotides) under uncultured bacterium. Its description in RNAcentral is "bacterial SSU rRNA". It matches the Rfam family "Bacterial small subunit ribosomal RNA", at positions 523 to 898 of the family's 1533-position model. The record is from RNAcentral.
AUACGUAGGGGGCGAGCGUUAUCCGGAAUUAUUGGGCGUAAAGAGUGCGUAGGCGGUUACUUAAGCGUGGGGUGAAGGCCAUUGGCUUAACCAAUGUAAGCCCCGCGAACUGGGUAGCUUGAGUGCAGGAGAGGAAAGCGGAAUUCCUAGUGUAGCGGUGAAAUGCGUAGAUAUUAGGAGGAACACCAGUGGCGAAGGCGGCUUUCUGGACUGUAACUGACGCUGAGGCACGAAAGCGUGGGGAGCAAACAGGAUUAGAUACCCUGGUAGUCCACGCCGUAAACGAUGAGCACUAGGUGUCGGGGUUGUAAGACUUCGGUGCCGCAGUUAACGCAUUAAGUGCUCCGCCUGGGGAGUACGUGCGCAAGCAUGAA